GGAAGAGUACCCAAGAGGCUAAAGGGGACGGACUGUAAAUCCGUUAGCUAAGCUUUCACUGGUUCGAAUCCAGUCUCUUCCACCA
This 85-nucleotide transfer RNA is filed under the name Tissierella praeacuta. RNAcentral describes it as "tRNA-Tyr(gta)". It matches the Rfam family "tRNA". Rfam says of the family: Transfer RNA (tRNA) molecules are approximately 80 nucleotides in length. Their secondary structure includes four short double-helical elements and three loops (D, anti-codon, and T loops). Further hydrogen bonds mediate the characteristic L-shaped molecular structure. tRNAs have two regions of fundamental functional importance: the anti-codon, which is responsible for specific mRNA codon recognition, and the 3' end, to which the tRNAs corresponding amino acid is attached (by aminoacyl-tRNA synthetases). tRNAs cope with the degeneracy of the genetic code in two manners: having more than one tRNA (with a specific anti-codon) for a particular amino acid; and 'wobble' base-pairing, i.e. permitting non-standard base-pairing at the 3rd anti-codon position. RNAcentral also lists the same sequence under 4 other names. Lineage: Bacteria; Bacillati; Bacillota; Tissierellia; Tissierellales; Tissierellaceae. The record is from RNAcentral.